This is a long non-coding RNA of Oncorhynchus kisutch (coho salmon), 1225 nucleotides long. RefSeq lists it as uncharacterized. The record is from RefSeq and is a predicted model, not a curated record. The transcript is spliced from 3 exons. NCBI's taxonomy places the organism in Eukaryota, Metazoa, Chordata, Actinopteri, Salmoniformes, Salmonidae.
UAGGACGGUGACGACGACCGCCGAGCACCGCCUGAACGGGCAGGAGAGCCAACCUCGGCGGAAGUCGUGACACAAGGACUGUGAGCUCUCAUUCUCCAUGGUCGAACUGGUUGGACUGGAGGAUGGUACGGUGCUGGUGGAAAGCUAUGGUUGGCAACAACACCUGACUCUGUACUUCAGGCCGCUGCCACAGAUCAAGUAGUACCAGUAAUUCAGCUUCGACGCUCUGGACCCUAGUGUUGUUGUCGCCAAGGAGGGUUUGUACUCAGUCGGGACCAAGUUUCAGCUGCUGCGUAACGCUGACAUCCUUCCUCCCAUAGAUGGUCUGCCUGUACAAUACAAGCACUGACUGGACACAGACAAGUUUAUCUAUCUUUUUGAGAAGAUCAGGGAGCUUAUGCAACAAAGAGGCUCUGGACAUCACAUGCCCUGCACCAAAGUCAAGGGCAGGACAGAAACCGGCUCUCCGAAUAUAGAUUCCAUUGUUCAUGCGUGGUUCAGACGGACCAGUUGAUCACUGGGGGCGAGUCCCAGUCAUCACCACUAUCUGCAGUGCCUCUAUUCACAUGCCUCUCUCCUAACACACACACACACCAUACGUUGCUGCUACUAUUUUAUUUUAUCCCACUGCUCAGCCACUUUACCCCUGAUUGUAUGCAUACAACUACCUUAUCUAUCACUGAUAUCAUUAUUGAUAUUGUCCAUACUGUAUAUUUGAUUUAUAUUGACACUAUCUAUUUCUGAUAUUGCUACUGUGCAAGUAACCAUUUGGCUGUACCGUUUACACCUUCUGUAGAGACCCAUCCACUUAGCAAGAUGUGGCUGGGGAUUAUAACUUUCUUUCACGUAACCCAUCAAUAUAGAAAAAUGUGUCUGGGUAAGCAUCAUUUAAUAUAUUUUUAUCUGGGCACUUUGUUUACCUGGAAUUUUUCCUUAUUGUAGGCUACUACUUUUAACACUUCCAGUCUUAAUCUUUACUACAAGACUCACUGUUUAGCACAUGACCUCACAUGUGAAUCCUUAAAGAGACAGGAGGGGCUGGCUUAAGAGGGUGUGAACAAUGCUGAAUGGGUGUAGACAUAGGAGAGCUCUCCAGUACUAGUACCAAAACACUUGUACCCCGGACAUUGACUCAGUACCCCAUGUAUAUAGCCUCGUUAUUAUGUAAAUUCAUUGUUACUUUUUGAUUAUAAAAAAAAUAAAAAUAAUAAUGUUUUAUUUGGUA